This 211-nucleotide ribosomal RNA is filed under the name uncultured Desulfuromonas sp. RNAcentral's name for it is "partial 16S ribosomal RNA". It matches the Rfam family "Bacterial small subunit ribosomal RNA", at positions 1172 to 1382 of the family's 1533-position model. The record is from RNAcentral. Lineage: Bacteria; Pseudomonadati; Thermodesulfobacteriota; Desulfuromonadia; Desulfuromonadales; Desulfuromonadaceae.
UAGGGAGGUGACGUCAAGUCCUCAUGGCCCUUAUGUCCAGGGCUACACACGUGCUACAAUGGCCGGUACAAAGGGCUGCAAGACCGUGAGGUUGAGCGAAUCCCAGAAAGCCGGUCUCAGUUCGGAUUGGAGUCUGCAACUCGACUCCAUGAAGUUGGAAUCGCUAGUAAUCGCGGAUCAGCAUGCCGCGGUGAAUACGUUCCCGGGCCUU